Regulatory RNA element from Corynebacterium maris DSM 45190, 149 nucleotides. It matches the Rfam family "atpB RNA". NCBI's taxonomy places the organism in Bacteria, Bacillati, Actinomycetota, Actinomycetes, Mycobacteriales, Corynebacteriaceae. The record is from Rfam.
CGCAGGCUGUCACGACGAUGUGCGACGGAAUCCGGGGCAGCCGAAGAAAAGAUUACGACGUCCAUCGCACCGCACCAACGAGCACGGGCUUGAAAACCCCGCCAGCUUGGGGCGGCCCGAACACGGGAGAGAACGCUGAGCGUUUCAAC